AGCUCUCGAGGUGAUCACAUGGGACGAGCCAGAACAAGGGAGGGCAGAGCAAGGAAGGUUCCGCGGCUGCCUUUUUCCAUUGGCUCCGCACAGGCACGUGGCGCUCCUCUGCCCACCGCUGGCUCACAGCUGGCUAGCCCCGCUCGGCUGGCGGGGAAAGAGCAGUAAGAGCCGCUCCGGUUAAAGUGCCUUAAAGGAGCGUGGAAGAGGAAGAGGAGGAGGAGGAGGAGAAGGAGGAAGAAGGCGGCAAAGAGUUUUUGCCCCCCCCCUUGGGCUCCUGGGUCUGAUUGAUUAAUUACUGUUUUGUUUUGGCGGCCGAACCCUUCGCGGGCAGUUCGUCGUUUCGCUUGGAGCCAUAGAAGGCAAAAGUCCGGAGCUGCGGAGCGGGGCGGCGCGAAGGAACAUCUUCCAUCUGUGUCAGAUUUAUAAUGAGUGCCAAAUCUGCUAUCAAUAAAGAGAUUUUUGCACCACAUGAUGAAAGGAUGCUGGGUGCAGUCCAAGUAAAAAGGAGAACGAAGAAAAAGAUUCCUUUCCUGGCAACUGGGGGUCAGGGUGAAUACUUAACCUACAUUUGCUUGUCAGUGACAAACAAGAGACCUGCACAAGCAUAUAUUACAAAAGUUAAACAAUUUGAAGGUUCUACAUCUUUUGUACGAAGGUCACAAUGGAUGCUUGAACAGCUUCGUCAGGUUAAUGGUUUAGAUCCUCAUCGAGAUUCCCCAGAAUUUGAUUUAUUGUUUGAAAAUGCUUUUGACCAAUGGGUGGCGAGUACAGCCUCUGAAAAAUGUACAUUCUUUCAAAUUCUCCAUCAUACUUGUCAACGGUAUCUUACAGACAAAAAGCCAGAAUUUAUUAAUUGCCAGUCUAAAGCUAUUGGAGGAAUAUUCUGUGAUUUCCUAUUGAGAAUAAAACUACAAGCAAGAUGUCAAGAUGGUCACAUAAAAAUAGAAACAGCAUAUUACAUUCGGCAGCAGACAGCGUGACAAGUGCCGUACAGAAAGCAAGCCAGGCUCUGAAUGAGCGCGGUGAAAGAUUAAGUCGAACUGAAGAAAAGACAGAGGACAUGAAAAACAGUGCUCAGCAGUUUGCAGAAACUGCACACAAGCUUGCCAUGAAACACAAGUGUUGAAAACGACUGUGUGGAGAUCUUUCUGAAAGGAACUGCAAAAAUAGGAUUGCCCAUUUUUAGUGAAAAUGCAAGUCUGUGUCUCUUUUUUCCAACAAUUUGGUAAUCAGUUCCAAUUAUCAUGUAGGAAAUUAGUAUUCCUACUUUUUCUAUUGCUAGGCCAUUCAGUGUCUGUCUUUUUUUAAUAUUUAAAAUGAGAUGGUGUUAAUAUGUAAAUUGGACCAAAGGAUAUACUAAACUGCACUGAACUGCAAGAAUCUAUUGUUCCCAAUAUUGUGUAACAAUACAGUAAUGUAGCUACAAGAAAGGUGAUCAAGUGACAGUGAAAUCCAGUAAUUGUUAUAAAGUUGUUUCUUAGAGCAAAUUUUGAAGUAAACGUAUUCAUAACUUAUAUUAUGAAGUGUUCAUAACUUCCAUCACAGGGCAACAAAAAUAGGUUGCUAUGAAAAACAGUUCUACCAUUUUUAGCCAACUUAUUUUGCACGUGUCAUCACUAGCGUGGUGAAUUUAAAUUUGAAUUGUCCAUCAUGUUGUCAACACUAUUUUUUCAAAAAAAUCUUUUUUCUUAUGGUCUGAGUUUACUUAAAAGUUACCAAAAAACACAUUAGAAAUGUUAAGGAAAGGCUGAUUAAAUCGAUAAAUACGUCAAUAUUUUAUCUGGAAUUUAACUCUUACCUUUGUAAAUGGAAAAAAAUGUCCUUCUAAAUAAACAUUAUAUUGAAACUGUUUCAAGAAAUAAUACAUGCACAAGCACUAUUGUAAGUUUUUGGAAUUCUUCUAUUGAUAGGCAUGCUUCAAUUUUAUUACAUAAAAUAAGACUUGCUAGAGUUUUCCUUAAUAGUGUAAUCUGAACCUGUGAACACCAAAAUUCAGUCUAUUUGCAGUCACUGGAUUAUAAUCAUACAUUCAUUAUAAUUAACAUUAUUUACAAUAAAAUAUAUACUUCCACUUUUCAUUUUAUAAAACACAAAGUUUUCUUGUUUUGUCAAAAAAAAAUCCCUUAAAACAGAUUUUUACAUGCAUUGAAGCUUUCUGGAUUAUUCCUGGUUUUUAUCUUUCCAAUGCUAGUCUGGAGAACUGAUGUUGAACAUUCAGUCUAGAUCAGGGGUGUCCAAACCUGGCAACUUUAAGACUUGUGGACUUCAUCUCCACAAGUCUUAAAGUUGCCAAGUUUGGACACUCCUGGUCUAGAUGGUUAUGUCAGAUUUGUCAGCACACAGUAAUUGGAGUGGUAAUGUAGAACCAUUAACUUCCAUUUUUUUUGGAGGGGGGAGAGAGAUAACCUGAUUAAGAAGCUUUUUCUCCUGUUAGCACUGAAUUUAUGUCAGACCUAAGAAUAUGAAUGCACAAACAAUGCUUAAACAGCCCCAUAAGGAAUCUAUAAAAUUCUGGAUAGAAUCAUGGGCGUGCAUAGUUGAUACAUUCCCAAAAAACUUUUAAAAGCUUGAAAUUUUCAGUGUUUGAAAUUAAAAUGUAUAGGUCAAAAAAAAACCCACCUUUAAACCUACAGGAUCUAAUAUUUUUUUCGUGGAUGAUAAUUAGAAUAGCAAUAUAAGGCAGUCUGGGGGAUACUAUUCAGAGUGGUAAUUCUUAUGGGAAGGCACUUUUAUAUUCUCUCAUGUUUGUAUAAUUAUGAACCAAGUGGGGAAAAAACAGUUUUAGUAUAGGUAAAGAAUUAAAUCAUUAUGGAGAGAAGGCAUCCAGUUAACUGCAUAUUGUAUGCCAUCAUAGUGUAAACAUUUUAUAGGCUCUAUUUAUCUUUGUCGGUAAUUUACUGACUGAUAACAGUCCAGAUUUGACAGCUGCAUGGACUUCCAUCAAUAUGGUCUCUAUAGCAUAUUGUGGGCUACAUUCGAUUAUAAGUUUACAUAGAAGUUGUUUUUAUUUCCUUUGUUAAAUCAUAUUUAAUGUAUUGUUAUUUAUUUUGCACAUUUUUUUUAAAAAAAAUCAUCUCGGUGAUGAAACUGGCUUUUUGUCAAUGCAGGGAUUUUUUGUUUUUUCACAUGCCAAAAAAUAAAACUCUCAAGUCAUUUCAUCAACUUAAUACAUUCAGAAACAACCUAAUUUCUGUUUCUACUAUGAAGUAAAUUUAAGUUACGUGAUGUUUUCUUAGGAUAAUUAGAAACAAGUGUGCUUAUACUGAAAAUAAAUGUGAUUGUAUUAAAAUAUGUCCUCCUGGAAAAUUGAUGUAGUAGUCAAUUAUAGUGUUAGAUAUUUGUGUACAUAAAUUAUACAGUAAUUCAGGUUAAUAUUUCAUAUUAAAAUGUAUCUGUAAAAAAUAGCAAGAUCAAUAGUUUCAUUAUCACUUUUUUAAAGUUCUGCAAAGAAUAAAAAAUCAGAAAUUAUUAGACCUAAGAUAGUCAUACCUGUAAGAUCCGCCUCAUUCUGUGGCUAGCAACAUGUUGUAUAUUAAUGUGAAAAUAUUCAACAAAACUGGCUCUCUAAAUGAGUGAACCUAAAAUACAUUUAAUUUUAAAAUGAAGGUACUUUGCUCUAUAUUUCACAAACAUUGUUUUUGUCAUUUAAAGUUUUAGCCAUUAAUUAAAAUAUACUUUUGUAUCAAUGAUAGACAACUUAAGGCGGUAUAUAAUUCCCAUACCUAUUUUUGCAGCCAUGUAGAAGGACCCCCUCCUUUUGAAAUUCACUUUUGAUAAUCUACCAAGUUAAGUUUUAAAAUAGAUGUGUUAAUGUUUUGGGAGGUUCUUGUACUACUACUGCAUUACUCCCUCCCAGUACCACCAUCCUCCCCAUUUGAAAAAGGGCUGAACAUUUCUUCUCGCAGACUCUGCUGUUGUCCCCACACAACUAUCACAUGCCCUAUGGCCCUCCGAUGCCAGGAAACAGAUACAGCUCUUAGUGAAAGUGGAGAAAAAUAAUCCUCAUCUAUAUUAUUUGAAGAGGUAGGAUGGGUGUACAUUAUGCACAUGCAUUCUUUUUUUUUCUUUUUUUGGAGGGGGGGGCUUACAUUAUUUUGGGAACAGGCAGCUUUAAUGGGUUACCGGUAUAUAUGUAAGCAUAUCUUGAAUGCAUACAUUAGCUAUCAUUACUGCUAGGUCUCAUUGCCAUAAUUUACCAUAAGAUGGCCAUUGCAACAAUUGACCUUACUGGUUUCAAGUAGCUUCAAACUCAUCAUAAUGCACAAAACAACAUGAAGUGUGUGGCUGAUUCAGCUUUUUCUUUGCCUUAGAUCCAGUAGGGCCAAGAUUUCUUGGUUACUAAACAAAUAGUGUGAUUCUGUGUCUACAUUUCUUAUUUAAAGUGGACAUGGACCAUUUACCUGGACCACUAAAUGAUCUCUAUGGACCAUGUGCAAAAGUGAUCCCCUUCUGUUUUUCAUGACUUGCACUCUGUGCAUAGGCUAAAAUGUCACCAUGAUUUUAUUUUACUUGCAUAGUAUAUAAAAGGCAAGUUAUACAAGGAGGGCCUGCACACACAUGUUAAAUGCAAACUGAGGCAUAGCUGUAACUCGGCAAACAUAAUACAUGUGCAAAUAGCCUGUGUGUAUUUAUGUUGUGCACGUAUAUAUCCUUGCAUACCAUAGCUUUUCUAAGUUUCA
RNA transcript from Ahaetulla prasina, 4682 nucleotides. It is a transcript of the gene named syntaxin binding protein 6, with no coding region annotated. The transcript is spliced from 7 exons. The record is from RefSeq and is a predicted model, not a curated record. Lineage: Eukaryota; Metazoa; Chordata; Lepidosauria; Squamata; Colubridae.